RNAcentral lists this non-coding RNA (31 nucleotides) under Homo sapiens (human). The record is from RNAcentral. Lineage: Eukaryota; Metazoa; Chordata; Mammalia; Primates; Hominidae.
UGUGGGUACUUAGUUCCAGCAGAGCUGGCUC